Molecule: long non-coding RNA, 3781 nt
Filed under: Triticum aestivum (bread wheat)
Lineage: Eukaryota; Viridiplantae; Streptophyta; Magnoliopsida; Poales; Poaceae
Description: long non-coding RNA (TAES_LNC023949)
Source: RNAcentral
GGUUUUCUCGGGAGUGUCGUUGUACUCUCCAGCAUCGUCAGGCAAUUCCCACUCAGGGUGGCCAGCCUUCGCCGCUGCUGCUUUGAAGUCUGCUUCCAGGUACUUAUCAUAACACUGCAGAUUAUUUUUGUUUUAGUUAAAACAGUUAAUUGGAGCCCUUUUGUCUUUACUUGUUAUGGUAUUAUUUUUGCAUCCGUUUUAAUUCAUGCCUGUCUGUUUAGUUGGAUGUACAUUUGAUGUCCACUGCUUUUACCGUUUAAUUGUGGGACCAUGGUCUUAUGUUUGCUUCUGAUACUUUGCUCAAAAGAAGAGCAUGAUCUCUCAAAAGCCAUGAGUAGUAUUAAUUUGAAAUUGCCAUUUUAUCCAACGCCGCUUAUGAUCAGAAUCACUUUACCAUUGGGUGAACCUUUUUCAGUGCAAAUCGUCUCUUGGACAAAGAUUAAACUGCCUUUGGUCAUCACAUGUUACAUGUAUAUACGAGGAUUUUGUAAGAACAGAAGAGUAUUUGGGAAAACACUCACGAUGAAUUCUCCGAUGCCUGGGAAGACCCAUCCUUGGCUCUGAGGAUACGAUGGGUACCUCAUCUCUCCAGCUGGGCCAAGUCCCACUUCAAUGUCCACGAUGGUACCGGCAUCCAAGAACUUCUUCAUGUUUUCCCUGAAGCUCGCCAUGUAAUCAGCAUACAUCUGUAGCAGCCACAAAGAAGGAUCAAAGCUUUGCUACCAUGAGCACACUGGGGCUACCAAAAUCACAACUAUGCUGUUGCCAAGACUCAUCUCAGUCAUCUGAAUCACCAUAUAUGCAGGAGAACUGGAAUGGUGAUCUAGCUUAGCUAACCUGGACGGCAGUUCUUCCAUGGAAGAGAGGCUGGUCGUCCACUCCAAGGGUGAGGUACUCGAUGUUCCUCGUCCCGCCGCGGUUGGUGUAGAAAAUGUCGGGGUCGGUGGCGCCGACGUCGCGAACCCACUGUGGGAUGGGGAUGUUGACGACGUCGCCGACGUUGCCACCGCACUGGUGGAAUGACAUGAUGGCCUGCAGCUUGAGCCCGGCCUCGUGCACCAGGUCGAAGACCUGCUUGUAGGCGCUCCAGUCGUACGCCUUGGGGCCCUUGCCCUCCACCAGCCCCCACCAGACGUCUAUCAUGACGCCGUCCACGCCGGCCUCCGUCAGCUUCUUCAGCUGCGCCCUGAUCUCGUCGCCCUUCUCGAAUUUGUUGUCGACGCUCACGACGUCCAGCUAUUCCCACAACGAAAGUGAAGGCAAGGUUAGUGGAACUACUGCAUCUGAGGUCUCAGAUCAGAUCUUGUUGAUAAGCUGGGUAUCAUAUGCAUGAUAAUGUGAGUUUUUAGAUCCUUGGAAUGGUUUGUCAGUGCCAUGGUGCUUAGCGGGCUGAAUGGAGCUUACCGGGAGCAUGACGUAGACUUGGACAUAGUUGGCUAGCAUGUUCCCGGCCAUUGUGGCUGCUGGCUACAAACACUGGCUUGCGUGCUCACUCACUCACUGAGCUUGGUUUGCUGGGUGUUGCAGGGGAGGUCGAGGGGUCUAUUUAUACUGCGAAAGAGGGAUCGGAGGAGGGGCCCGGGGUCCUUCUCCAGCGAGGCGAGGUGAACUGGUUGAUUUUGGUUACCGCUCACAGCCCAGCUUCAGGGUUGAUAUCAUAUUUUCCUUGUCACUGGAAGAAGAUUGGGUAUCUGAAUGUUCUGAUUCGUUCACGUGUGUUUAGAGCGGCAAGCCAACAGUAUCAGGUUUAAAUACGUUAUCCGACAAAACGAAAAUAUAUUGACAGGGUCAUCCCUUGUUUUCCUUUCCAUCACGCUUAGAUGACUAGGACAAAGUUCUUCACCCCUCCAAGCUUCACCGUCCAGUCUGUGGAUUAAGCCAAAACUUGAAGCCACAUGCCCAUAAAUAUAUCCUUUUGUUUAUAAGCCAAGUGUAAAAGUAGAAAAAUAAACCCAACCAGACACCCCCUAAUAUGUGGUGAUUUGGGGGCCUGUGUGGUCGCCCACCUCACCCUCUCCAUCAACGGGCCUGUCCUCCGGUGACCAGUGGCGGGGAGGCGAAUUCUAGUGCCUCGGCUCCGACUAGUAGUUUAGGUUAGGGAUUUUUAGUCGUUGCAAAUGACAACUCUUCAUCAUUGAGUAGGUCUUUUGGGUUUUGAUCCUCGAUUUCGUUUGUCAUGACCGAGUCGAUGGAACUCUGGUUUAUAUUCCUACCGUCUCUUGGGACGAUGAGGUUAGGGUUUCUUAUCAUAGGUUCGGCACAGUAUCUGAUGUCAGACACUUCAAAUCGAUUCAACGUCAUGACUGGGGCUUUAGGGCGGUGAUUCUUAAGGGCACGCGCACGAAGACUUUUCAGUUGUCAUCAACAAGGUUAGGAUGACUCUGGUGUAGGAGAGGCUCGUUCCGGCAAUGGUAGUGGUCGUUCGGUGGUCUGAGGACCUCAAUGUAUUUUUUUUUAUUAUGUUUGGGGUGCUUUGUACUUUUGGUGAACUUUAUAAUAUAACCGUGUCCUUUUGAAUUUUUUUAACACAGUAUAAUUGAAGAAGUUUACAUACACACAUCCCAAUGCAUGCACGCACGCACACCCUACCUCCAUGAGGGCACGGGAAUGUCUUCUUUCGCUGAAUGGAUAUCGCCGGAAAGUCUGAAAUAAAUCCAAAAAAAAAUGAGCACCAGUAUCAAAUCUAGGACAUAAAUCUUGAUGAGCUGGUUCCACACAAAAACCUAACCAUCUGAGCUACACUCAGUCCACGAAAAGAAAAUGUAUUGACGGGUGACUGUGUAUCAUCACACAUCAUGGUUAUGUAUCGUGUAUAUAACACUGUCAGGCUGUUAGACAAAUAGCUCGAUCUUCUCUGCUACGAUCCGCAGACACACUAAAAAUCUUACGACUACCCAUAGAACCGUAUAUUUUUGCUCAGACACACUAAAAAUCUGAUGUUAGGGUUUUAGGCAUGUCAAAUCUGAUGUUUUUCAUUGCAAUUUAUAUAGGCAUGAUGAUGGCAAAUUUAGUUUGCAAGUACAGCAAUUUUCUAACAAAAAGUGAAUUGAGACAGAUUUGCUAUGAUUAUCAACUAAACUUGCCAUUCUCUAAGAAUAUAAAUUGUCAUAAUAAACGUUUCAUUUGCCAUGGUAAAAAAUCUGAUGUCAGAUUUAUAGUCUCGUCCUUUUUGUUUGUAUACGUGCUACUUAUGUAUCCGGGUGUUUUCCAGGUCAAGCGGAUGUAGAAAACUUAACAGAUCAGGAUACCAUCACCAAAAGAAAAGAAAAACAGAUCAGGAUACCAGUUCAGAUAAAACUUAACUUCGGUUUACCCAUGGGUUUUACCCCCUUUUUUUUGAGCUGGCAUGCUUAUUUUACUUGGUUUUCACUUUUAAGCAGUUGGUGAUUUGUUCAUGAGCCAUCAGGUUGCCAUGCCAUGUGCACCGUGCUCACUUGACUGCUGAAAGGCGAGACCGGGGCUCCCGCCCAGGCCACGCCGCGCCUUGGAUGCGGCGGGCGGUUCUCAACAUCUCGACCAGGCCGUUGGAUGAUCUCUGUCGGGCAUUCAGUUGGAUUAGCUGGCACGAUGCACAUGCGCAACCUGCGAGUUGUCACAAAUCGCAAGGGCAUGAGAUCUGUCGUUCUCCGUCAAAACCUUAAAACAGAGUACUGUACUGUAUUUCUUCAUACUGUACUGUACUGUGAGGUUGCCGGCCAUAACAUUGCAAGAUUAUUUCGAUGCUGAUAAUCCGUGGUGCCGAUCGAUGCUGCUACUGCAAACGAGAGAAAUUAUCGCGGGG